UGAGGAAUAUUGGUCAAUGGGCGAGAGCCUGAACCAGCCAAGUAGCGUGCAGGAUGACGGCCCUAUGGGUUGUAAACUGCUUUUAUAUGGGAAUAAAGUGAGGGACGUGUCCCUUAUUGCAUGUACCAUAUGAAUAAGGACCGGCUAAUUCCGUGCCAGCAGCCGCGGUAAUACGGAAGGUCCAGGCGUUAUCCGGAUUUAUUGGGUUUAAAGGGAGCGUAGGCUGUUUGUUAAGCGUGUUGUGAAAUGUAAGAGCUCAACUUUUAGAUUGCAGCGCGAACUGGCAGACUUGAGUGCGCACAACGUAGGCGGAAUUCAUGGUGUAGCGGUGAAAUGCUUAGAUAUCAUGACGAACUCCGAUUGCGAAGGCAGCUUACGGGAGUGUUACUGACGCUUAAGCUCGAAGGUGCGGGUAUCGAACAGG
Molecule: ribosomal RNA, 424 nt
Filed under: Verrucomicrobiota bacterium
Lineage: Bacteria; Pseudomonadati; Verrucomicrobiota
Description: Verrucomicrobia bacterium partial 16S ribosomal RNA
Rfam family: Bacterial small subunit ribosomal RNA
Source: RNAcentral